RNAcentral lists this ribosomal RNA (101 nucleotides) under uncultured bacterium. RNAcentral's name for it is "partial 16S ribosomal RNA". It matches the Rfam family "Bacterial small subunit ribosomal RNA", at positions 1386 to 1482 of the family's 1533-position model. The record is from RNAcentral.
CACACCGCCCGUCACACCAUGGGAGUUGGUCAUACCUGAAGACGGUGUUCUAACCUCGCAAGAGGGGGAAGCCGGCCACGGUGUGGUCAGCGACUGGGGUG